GUUGACCUCGGAUCAGGUAGGGAUACCCGCUGAACUUAAGCAUAUCAAUAAGCGGAGGAAAAGAAACCAACAGGGAUUGCCCCAGUAACGGCGAGUGAAGCGGCAAGAGCUCAAAUUUGAAAUCUGGUCUCCCCCGGGGGCCCGAGUUGUAAUUUGCAGAGGAUGCUUCGGGUGCGGCCGCCGUCUAA
Molecule: ribosomal RNA, 188 nt
Filed under: Trichophyton mentagrophytes
Lineage: Eukaryota; Fungi; Ascomycota; Eurotiomycetes; Onygenales; Arthrodermataceae
Description: partial 28S ribosomal RNA
Rfam family: Eukaryotic large subunit ribosomal RNA
Source: RNAcentral